Molecule: ribosomal RNA, 208 nt
Filed under: uncultured eukaryote
Lineage: Eukaryota
Description: partial 18S ribosomal RNA
Rfam family: Eukaryotic small subunit ribosomal RNA
Source: RNAcentral
UGGUGGACUGAUUUGUCUGGUUAAUUCCGAUAACGAACGAGACCUUAACCUGCUAACUAGUGACCAGUACCUUUUGGCCGGUCUCGUUUCUUCGACCGCAGCGCCGCGACUUCGGUUGUGUGCUUGUGGUCGGCGGACCGGUCGUAUUGGGCGCACUUCUUAGAGGGACAUUCGGCGUUGCAGCCGAAGGAAGUUUGAGGCAAUAACA